RNAcentral lists this ribosomal RNA (460 nucleotides) under uncultured bacterium. RNAcentral describes it as "SSU rRNA". It matches the Rfam family "Bacterial small subunit ribosomal RNA", at positions 26 to 518 of the family's 1533-position model. The record is from RNAcentral.
AGAAUCAACGCUGGCGGCGUGCCUAACACAUGCAAGUCGCACGAGAAAGGGACUUCGGUCCUGAGUAAAGUGGCGCACGGGUGAGUAACACGUGAAUCAUCUACCUCCGAAUGGGGAAUAACUGAGAGAAAUCUUAGCUAAUACCGCAUAAUACCUACGGGUCAAAGCAGCAAUGCGUUUGGAGAGGAGUUCGCGGUCGAUUAGUUAGUUGGAGGGGUAAUGGCCCACCAAGACGAUGAUCGAUAUCCGGCCUGAGAGGGCGCACGGACACACUGGAACUGAAACACGGUCCAGACUCCUACGGGAGGCAGCAGUGGGGAAUUUUGCGCAAUGGGGGAAACCCUGACGCAGCAACGCCGCGUGGAGGAUGAAAUAUCUUGGUAUGUAAACUCCUUUCGAUGGGGAAGAUAAUGACGGUACCCAUAGAAGAAGCCCCGGCUAACUUCGCGCCAGCAGCCGC